This 195-nucleotide microRNA precursor is filed under the name Theobroma cacao (cacao). RNAcentral's name for it is "pre miRNA MIR159". It matches the Rfam family "MIR159 microRNA precursor family". Lineage: Eukaryota; Viridiplantae; Streptophyta; Magnoliopsida; Malvales; Malvaceae. The record is from Rfam by way of RNAcentral.
UUAUGGAUGAAGGAGCUCUCUUCAGUCCAGUCCGAGGCAGUUGAGGGCUGGUACUUGGCUGCUGACUCGUUGGUUCAAAAGCUCAUCAAAGAAUGCGCAGGAAAAUAUGAUGUGUUUCUGAUCCAACGAUGCAGGAGCUGCGUUCAGUUCUAGCUGUCACGUCUUGGACUGAAGGGAGCUCCCUCUUAUUAAUUC